CGAAUUCGCCCUUAGAGUUUGAUCCUGGCUUCAAGCGGAACGCUAGCUACAGGCUUAACACAUGCAAGUCGAGGGGCAGCAUGAACUUAGCUUGCUAAGUUUGAUGGCGACCGGCGCACGGGUGAGUAACACGUAUCCAACCUUCCGUUUACUCAGGGAUAGCCUUUCGAAAGAAAGAUUAAUACCUGAUAGUAUGGUGAGAUUGCAUGAUAACACCAUUAAAGAUUUAUUGGUAAACGAUGGGGAUGCGUUCCAUUAGGUAGUAGGCGGGGUAACGGCCCACCUAGCCUGCGAUGGAUAGGGGUUCUGAGAGGAAGGUCCCCCACAUUGGAACUGAGACACGGUCCAAACUCCUACGGGAGGCAGCAGUGAGGAAUAUUGGUCAAUGGGCGAGAGCCUGAACCAGCCAAGUAGCGUGAAGGAUGAAGGUCCUACGGAUUGUAAACUUCUUUUAUACGGGAAUAAAGUAUCCUACGUGUAGGAUUUUGUAUGUACCGUAUGAAUAAGCAUCGGCUAACUCCGUGCCAGCAGCCGCGGUAAUACGGAGGAUGCGAGCGUUAUCCGGAUUUAUUGGGUUUAAAGGGAGCGCAGACGGGAGAUUAAGUCAGUUGUGAAAGUUUGCGGCUCAACCGUAAAAUUGCAGUUGAUACUGGUUUCCUUGAGUGCAGUUGAGGCAGGCGGAAUUCGUGGUGUAGCGGUGAAAUGCUUAGAUAUCACGAAGAACCCCGAUUGCGAAGGCAGCUUGCUAAACUGUAACUGACGUUCAUGCUCGAAAGUGUGGGUAUCAAACAGGAUUAGAUACCCUGGUAGUCCACACGGUAAACGAUGGAUACUCGCUGUUGGCGAUAUACUGUCAGCGGCUUAGCGAAAGCGUUAAGUAUCCCACCUGGGGAGUACGCCGGCAACGGUGAAACUCAAAGGAAUUGACGG
RNAcentral lists this ribosomal RNA (930 nucleotides) under uncultured bacterium. RNAcentral describes it as "bacterial SSU rRNA". It matches the Rfam family "Bacterial small subunit ribosomal RNA", at positions 1 to 916 of the family's 1533-position model. The record is from RNAcentral.